This 242-nucleotide unclassified non-coding RNA is filed under the name Pleosporaceae sp. RNAcentral's name for it is "partial contains 5.8S ribosomal RNA, internal transcribed spacer 2, and large subunit ribosomal RNA". The record is from RNAcentral. Lineage: Eukaryota; Fungi; Ascomycota; Dothideomycetes; Pleosporales; Pleosporaceae.
CGCACAUUGCGCCCCUUGGUAUUCCAUGGGGCAUGCCUGUUCGAGCGUCAUUUGUACCCUCAAGCACUGCUUGGUGUUGGGCGUUUGUUCCGCCGUGCGCGCGAACUCGCCUCAAAUGCAUUGGCAGCCGGCCGUCCCGCGUGGGAGCGCAGCACAGUAUGCGCGCCCGGCGGCGCACGACGGCGUCCACCAGCCCUUUCACGCUUGACCUCGGAUCAGGUAGGGAUACCCGCUGAACUUAA